UGCGGCGGGGGCGUGCCUUAAUAAUGCAAGUCGAGCGAAUGGAUUAAGAGCUUGCUCUUAUGAAGUUAGCGGCGGACGGGUGAGUAACACGUGGGUAACCUGCCCAUAAGACUGGGAUAACUCCGGGAAACCGGGGCUAAUACCGGAUAACAUUUUGAACCGCAUGGUUCGAAAUUGAAAGGCGGCUUCGGCUGUCACUUAUGGAUGGACCCGCGUCGCAUUAGCUAGUUGGUGAGGUAACGGCUCACCAAGGCAACGAUGCGUAGCCGACCUGAGAGGGUGAUCGGCCACACUGGGACUGAGACACGGCCCAGACUCCUACGGGAGGCAGCAGUAGGGAAUCUUCCGCAAUGGACGAAAGUCUGACGGAGCAACGCCGCGUGAGUGAUGAAGGCUUUCGGGUCGUAAAACUCUGUUGUUAGGGAAGAACAAGUGCUAGUUGAAUAAGCUGGCACCUUGACGGUACCUAACCAGAAAGCCACGGCUAACUACGUGCCAGCAGCCGCGGUAAUACGUAGGUGGCAAGCGUUAUCCGGAAUUAUUGGGCGUAAAGCGCGCGCAGGUGGUUUCUUAAGUCUGAUGUGAAAGCCCACGGCUCACCCGUGGAGGGUCAUUGGAAACUGGGAGACUUGAGUGCAGAAGAGGAAAGUGGAAUUCCAUGUGUAGCGGUGAAAUGCGUAGAGAUAUGGAGGAACACCAGUGGCGAAGGCGACUUUCUGGUCUGUAACUGACACUGAGGCGCGAAAGCGUGGGGAGCAACCCGUAGUAAAUAACCUGGU
Molecule: ribosomal RNA, 779 nt
Filed under: Bacillus cereus
Lineage: Bacteria; Bacillati; Bacillota; Bacilli; Caryophanales; Bacillaceae
Description: bacterial SSU rRNA
Rfam family: Bacterial small subunit ribosomal RNA
Source: RNAcentral